RNAcentral lists this ribosomal RNA (492 nucleotides) under uncultured bacterium. Its description in RNAcentral is "partial 16S ribosomal RNA". It matches the Rfam family "Bacterial small subunit ribosomal RNA", at positions 29 to 507 of the family's 1533-position model. The record is from RNAcentral.
AGUGAACGCUGGCGGUAGGCCUAACACAUGCAAGUCGAACGGCAGCACAGUAAGAGCUUGCUCUUACGGGUGGCGAGUGGCGGACGGGUGAGGAAUACAUCGGAAUCUACUUUUUCGUGGGGGAUAACGUAGGGAAACUUACGCUAAUACCGCAUACGACCUACGGGUGAAAGCAGGGGAUCUUCGGACCUUGCGCGAUUGAAUGAGCCGAUGUCGGAUUAGCUAGUUGGCGGGGUAAAGGCCCACCAAGGCGACGAUCCGUAGCUGGUCUGAGAGGAUGAUCAGCCACACUGGAACUGAGACACGGUCCAGGCUCCUACUGGAGGCAGCAGUGGGGAAUAUUGGACAAUGGGCGCAAGCCUGAUCCAGCCAUACCGCGUGUGUGAAGAAGGCCUUCGGGUUGUAAAGCCCUUUUGUUGGGAAAGAAAAGCAGCAGGUUAAUACCCCGCUGUUCUGACGGUACCCAAAGAAUAAGCACCGGCUAACUUCGUG